This 75-nucleotide transfer RNA is filed under the name bacterium HR10. RNAcentral describes it as "tRNA-Gln". It matches the Rfam family "tRNA". Rfam says of the family: Transfer RNA (tRNA) molecules are approximately 80 nucleotides in length. Their secondary structure includes four short double-helical elements and three loops (D, anti-codon, and T loops). The record is from RNAcentral.
UGGGAGCUCGUCCAAUUGGCAGGACAGCGGACUCUGGAUCCGCGAAUCGGGGUUCGAAUCCCUGGCUCCCAGCCA